UACAGAGGGUGCAAGCGUUACUCGGAGUUACUGGGCGUAAAGAGCUCGUAGGCGGUUCUUCAAGUCUGAUGUGAAAUCCCUGGACUCAAUCCAGGAAGUGCAUCGGAUACUGCUGAGCUGGAGUACAGGAGAGGAAAGCGGAAUUCCAGGUGUAGAGGUGAAAUUCGUAGAUAUCUGGAGGAACAACAGCGGCGAAGGCGGCUUUCUGGACUGUAACUGACGCUGAGGAGCGAAAGCGUGGGGAGCAAACAGG
This 253-nucleotide ribosomal RNA is filed under the name uncultured bacterium. RNAcentral describes it as "partial 16S ribosomal RNA". It matches the Rfam family "Bacterial small subunit ribosomal RNA", at positions 524 to 776 of the family's 1533-position model. The record is from RNAcentral.